This 456-nucleotide ribosomal RNA is filed under the name uncultured bacterium. RNAcentral's name for it is "SSU rRNA". It matches the Rfam family "Bacterial small subunit ribosomal RNA", at positions 26 to 518 of the family's 1533-position model. The record is from RNAcentral.
AGAGCGAACGCUGGCGGCAGGCUUAACACAUGCAAGUCGAGCGCCCCGCAAGGGGAGCGGCAGACGGGAGAGUAACACGUGGGAACGUACCUUUCGGUUCGGAACAACCCAGGGAAACUUGGGCUAAUACCGGAUACGUCCGUAAGGAGAAAGAUUUAUCGCCGAAAGAUCGGCCCGCGUCUGAUUAGCUAGUUGGUGAGGUAACGGCUCACCAAGGCGACGAUCAGUAGCUGGUCUGAGAGGAUGAUCAGCCUCACUGGGACUGAGACACGGCCCAGACUCCUACGGGAGGCAGCAGUGGGGAAUAUUGGACAAUGGGCGCAAGCCUGAUCCAGCAACGCCGCGUGGGGGAUGAAGCUUCUCGGAGUGUAAACCCCUUUCGACCCGGAAGAAAGCCCGCAAGGGUUUGACGGUACGGGUAUAAGAAGCCCCGGCUAACUACGUGCCAGCAGCCGC